AGAAUCAACGCUGGCGGCGUGCCUAACACAUGCAAGUCGCACGAGAAAGGGACUUCGGUCCUGAGUAAAGUGGCGCACGGGUGAGUAACACGUGAAUCAUCUACCUCCGAGUGGGGAAUAACCUAGAGAAAUCUGGGCUAAUACCGCAUAACACUUACGAGUCAAAGCAGCAAUGCGCUUGGAGAGGAGUUCGCGGCAGAUUAGUUAGUUGGCGGGGUAAUGGCCCACCAAGCGAUGAUCUGUA
RNAcentral lists this ribosomal RNA (244 nucleotides) under uncultured bacterium. Its description in RNAcentral is "partial small subunit ribosomal RNA". It matches the Rfam family "Bacterial small subunit ribosomal RNA", at positions 26 to 285 of the family's 1533-position model. The record is from RNAcentral.